UGGGGAAUUUUGGACAAUGGGCGAAAGCCUGAUCCAGCAAUGCCGCGUGUGUGAAGAAGGCCUUCGGGUUGUAAAGCACUUUUGUCCGGAAAGAAAUCCUUGGCUCUAAUACAGUCGGGGGAUGACGGUACCGGAAGAAUAAGCACCGGCUAACUACGUGCCAGCAGCCGCGGUAAUACGUAGGGUGCAAGCGUUAAUCGGAAUUACUGGGCGUAAAGCGUGCGCAGGCGGUUUGCUAAGACCGAUGUGAAAUCCCCGGGCUCAACCUGGGAACUGCAUUGGUGACUGGCAGGCUAGAGUAUGGCAGAGGGGGGUAGAAUUCCACGUGUAGCAGUGAAAUGCGUAGAGAUGUGGAGGAAUACCGAUGGCGAAGGCAGCCCCCUGGGCCAAGUACUGACGCUCAUGCACGAAAGCGUGGGGAGCAAACNGGAUUAAUACCCUGGUAGUCCACGCCCUAAACGAUGUCAACUAGUUGUUGGGGAUUCAUUUCCUUAGUAACGUAGCUAACGCGUGAAGUUGACCGCCUGGGGAGUACGGUCGCAAGAUUAAAACUCAAAGAAUUGACGGGGUCAUGCUGUUUCCU
Molecule: ribosomal RNA, 583 nt
Filed under: uncultured bacterium
Lineage: Bacteria
Description: partial 16S ribosomal RNA
Rfam family: Bacterial small subunit ribosomal RNA
Source: RNAcentral